Molecule: ribosomal RNA, 271 nt
Filed under: uncultured bacterium
Lineage: Bacteria
Description: partial 16S ribosomal RNA
Rfam family: Bacterial small subunit ribosomal RNA
Source: RNAcentral
UACGAAGGGUGCGAGCGUUAUUCGGAGUUAUUGGGCGUAAAGAGCGCGUAGGCGGUUUGAUAAGUCAGUUGUUAAAGAACCCGGCUUAACUGGGUAAAGGCGAUUGAAACUGUCUGGCUAGAGGGUAAGAGAGAGAAGCGGAAUUCUCGGAGUAGCGGUAAAAUGCGUAGAUCUCGAGAGGAACACCGGUGGCGAAGGUGGCUUCUUGGCUUACUACUGACGCUAAAGUGCGAAAGCGUGGGGAGCAAACAGGAUUAGAUACCCUAGUAGU